CCUACGGGUGGCAGCAGUGAGGAAUAUUGGUCAAUGGACGCAAGUCUGACCCAGCCAUGCCUCGUGCAGGAAGACGGCUCUAUGAGUUGUAACCUGCUUUUGUACGGGGGUAAACGCAGAUACGUGUAUCUGUCUGAAAGUAUCGUACGAAUAAGGAUCGGCUCCCUCCGUGCCAGCCGCCGCGGUAAUACGGAGGAUUCAAGCGUUAUCCGGAUUUAUUGGUUUUAACGGGUGCGUAGGCGGUCGGAUAAGUUAGAGGUGAAAUCCCGAGGCUCAACGUCGGAAUUGCCUCUGAUACUGUUCGGCUAGAGAGUAGUUGCGGUAGGCGGAAUGUAUGGUGUAGCGGUGAAAUGCUUAGAGAUCAUACAGAACACCGAUGGCGAAGGCAGCUUACCAAGCUACUUCUGACGUUGAGGCACGAAAGCGUGGGGAGCAAACAGGAUUAGAUACCCGUGUAGUC
This 460-nucleotide ribosomal RNA is filed under the name uncultured bacterium. RNAcentral describes it as "partial 16S ribosomal RNA". It matches the Rfam family "Bacterial small subunit ribosomal RNA", at positions 338 to 795 of the family's 1533-position model. The record is from RNAcentral.